ACACACAAACCAAGUUGUAAAAAAUCUAGCUACAUCAUCGUAUGAAGAAUUCAACCUUAUAAUUCCAGAAACGGCCUCUGUUCUGACCACUAAAUAUUUGAAGAAGUAAAUGAUGGUGACUUCAUUUCAUGAAUAUGCCUUGAGUUCACAAGUGGCAGACCCUGUUGUUCCAAACCUAUUGCAAAGGGUAAAAGGGAAAUCCCAAGGGACAAAAAUUAUAAACCUCAUCAUGGACCAGAAACAGACCACAAAGGCCAACUGGCAGGAGGAGCUAAGCCACAGGCUGCUGGAAUCCAGAGCUAUGAGCCAAUGGUGCCUGGAGUUUGAUA
This 329-nucleotide long non-coding RNA is filed under the name Homo sapiens (human). Its description in RNAcentral is "HSALNT0333159". The record is from RNAcentral. Lineage: Eukaryota; Metazoa; Chordata; Mammalia; Primates; Hominidae.